UUUGAAGCUUAAAUUAAACUUUAGGGGCGAAAUCGGGGUAAAAAUAAAAUAAAGGACCACAUCGUAACAUGCGAAUAAAAGGGAGGAACCAAAUGGAAAAUAUUUCAUGUCCUCCAAAACGCGCAAUUCCAAGGUGGACUGAAAUGAAACAAAGCCGAAAUUACAAGGCCAAAUUUAAAAAAAAAGGAAAAUAAAAAUAAAAAAGGACUAAAUUAAAACAAACCAAAAAUGCGGGAGGACCAGGGGCGUAAAUAGCCCAAAAAUGAAAACACGCGGAUCCCCAAGAGCGGGUCGGGUCGCGCGUGGGUUGGCCUUAAACGACGUUGUUUUGGGGCCUUUCUGACCC
This 346-nucleotide long non-coding RNA is filed under the name Gossypium raimondii (Peruvian cotton). RNAcentral's name for it is "long non-coding RNA (GRAI_LNC006518)". The record is from RNAcentral. Lineage: Eukaryota; Viridiplantae; Streptophyta; Magnoliopsida; Malvales; Malvaceae.